UACGAAGGGUGCAAGCGUUACUCGGAAUUACUGGGCGUAAAGCGUGCGUAGGCGGUUCGUUAAGUCUGUCGUGAAAGCCCUGGGCUCAACCUGGGAAUUGCGAUGGAUACUGGCGAGCUAGAGUACGGUAGAGGAUGGUGGAAUUCCCGGUGUAGCGGUGAAAUGCGUAGAGAUCGGGAGGAACACCAGUGGCGAAGGCGACUACCUGGCCUGUUCUUGACGCUGAGGCGCGAAAGCUAGGGGAGCAAACGGG
Molecule: ribosomal RNA, 253 nt
Filed under: uncultured bacterium
Lineage: Bacteria
Description: partial 16S ribosomal RNA
Rfam family: Bacterial small subunit ribosomal RNA
Source: RNAcentral